Long non-coding RNA from Vicia villosa (hairy vetch), 2815 nucleotides. RefSeq lists it as uncharacterized. The transcript is spliced from 3 exons. The record is from RefSeq and is a predicted model, not a curated record. NCBI's taxonomy places the organism in Eukaryota, Viridiplantae, Streptophyta, Magnoliopsida, Fabales, Fabaceae.
CCUAUAAAUACAUAUUCUUCAAGAGAUGAUACAUGUGCUUCCAAUCCUAAACAUUGCAAUUUAUAUAGUAAAAGAAAUAUGGAACCUUCCUACAAAUUGAAGUCAUUUGUUACUCUUUUAGCAAUACUUUUAAUACUAAUGUCAUCUAUGAUGUUUACUGAUGCCCAAUCCAAUUUCAAACAUGGGCGAAAACUGUUUCAAAAUGAUUAUUAUGGGAUUGGCUACCCAACUGGACCGAGUGGAUAUGGAGCAUAUAGCCCUCCUACGUAACUAAAUAGCUGCUUAGAGGAGGAGGAUGGCGCGAGGAUGUUCAUCUUUCCUUUUGUUUUGCGUCUUUAGAUUAAGUUGCUCUGAUCUGUAACACUAAGCGGGCGAACGAUGCUAUUUUUAUUUCUAUUGUGUUAAUUAGAGAGUUGGAUGUUAUACUCUCGAUGUUUAAGUUGAUUUGCGGAGAUUUUUAUUGUAUUGUUUUUCGGUUUAAUAAAGUAUUUUUAUGAAACUUAUAUGAUUGGUGAAGCAUGCUUAUUGAAUAAAUUCCGUUGCGAUGAUACCUUAAGUGAAGGUGAGCAUGCGAUGACAGGUGUUGAAUGUUUGUUUUAAAUUUCUAAGAGUUACAUAAUAGGUGAUGAUUUUGAGAAUGUGUGACAUCCUAUAUGAAUAUGUGAAAUAUCUUUGAUUUAUUUGUUAUAUUAUCCAUGGGGAAAUAGGGUCAUAGACCUUCCACACAAUUACUAACAAGGUAAUCUGGAGAGAAGAACAACCUUCUUUUCAUUCAAAUUUGUUAUCACCAAUGUCAACAACCUCAAUCUUGCAAGCUACCUAAAAAUCUCAACCAAGUCUUCAAUAACAAUUAGUUUCAAGAUAGUGUUAUCGUGGCGCGAAAAUUACCCGAGCAUAAGGAACAUUCGAAAUACAACAGAGUCACCACCGAACUUUAUUUAUUCUAAAAGGAAAAGAAAAAUAUCAAUAAAACCCAUGAAAGAACAACAAUAUGGUCAUCGCUACCAAAAGCGGGUUCGAGAGUCAGUUAUGCAAAGGGAAGGUAUUAGCACCUGUAACACCCCAAAUUCUAGACUAAUUAUUUAUUUAAUUAUUUUAGCGUGAUGCUUAUGUGUUAGUGUUUGUGUUAUCUGUAAUUUCGGGAUAUUUUGAUACUUGGGAUAAGGGUAGUUGCCUUAGAAUUUAUAAGGAAUGAAUUUAGAUGCUUUGGUGUGGAGUGGUGCCUUAAGAUUUAUAAUAAUUAAGGUCUUGUGAAAGAUUAGUUGGACUUGAGGUGUGUUGAGAAUAUGAAGUGUAGUUGGAGAAUAAUUAUUUUAUAAUAAUUAUUAUUAGCAAAAUAAUAGAAUGAAUAUUAUUUUAAUAAUUAUUUGAUUUAUUUUAAUUAGAGAAGGGCAUUGUUGGUAUUAUGAUUUAAGGGUAUGUUGGAUAAAAGAAGAAAAAUAGAGAGAUUAGGUUUUAUUUUUGAUGGAUCGUGAAAACAAGAGGAAGAGGCAAGAGAAGAAGGAAAACCUAAGGGAAGAGAGUGCAGGAAGCCAUGGCAAGAACUUGAGGAAUCCAAAAACAUAAGGUAAGGGGUGACUAUUCUUUAUUAAAUAGUAUUAUAGUUUUGAUGAUGGUAGAAUAGAUUAAGAGUUGAACCUCUAUUUAGGAUGUUAAGGUUUAUGAGAUUCUGACACUGACAUGCCCAAUUUGAUGAAUAUGAUGCAAUUGGUUUGUUAUAAUUGAUGGAUGAUAGUUAUAUUGCAUUGUUGUUGUGUUAGAAUCAUGAAAACUGAUGAAAAUUGGUCACUAUAAUGUGUGGGUUCGUAUUUGGUGUUGAUAGUGAAAGUAGGAAUGAAGAAAAGUCAUAAAAUUGGAGUUUUCUGCUACAACAGCGUCAGGAAUCGGUUCCCAGGUGGGAGGAACCGGGUUCCCAUAGUAAAAACCCGAAACGGGGAGAUUUUGUUCAGCAGGAACCGGUUCCCAGAUGGGGAGGAACCGGGUUCCACAGAUUUUUCUUAAUGUUUACUUAACUUUAAAAGCUUCUAAUUUUCAAACCGUAAGACCGUUUUAGACGCCGUUUUGGAUGUUGUUCCUUAAAUUGAAUGCUCUACCAUAUGAAAUAAAUAAAACAACAAUAACUUGAUUUUAUUUUAAAAAGUAUCGUUUUCUCCAAAUGUGAUUUAUUCUUGUAUUGCAUAAUUGGUGAGGUGCAAUGAUUUGUUGUUUGCAUAAUUGAACAUAUGCAAAGACGUGUGUUGUGAUAAUAUGACUGCUUCUACUUGUUAGGAAAAUGGAUAUUGUUUGUGGUAAAUAUGGUUAUCAUGUGUUUUGAUGAAUGAUGAUGAUUGAUUUGUUUUGAAUGAUGCAUGAUACAUGUACAUACUUGUUGGUAAUAACUAUGUUGAGUUAUGUGAGACGAUGUUGUUCAUCGGAUCGGUGAUGUUGUAUGUAUGACAUAUGUGUGCAUUCAUUCAUACGCAUUUUGUUGAUGGAUCUCGGUGAUGUUAUGGAUCAAAUGGUGGGUAUAAUUCCCAUUGUGUGAAAUUUGUGCCGGUUGGGCUGUAUCUUGGUGAGGAAUAGAUCAGUCGGAUGGGUUUAGCCCAUGUUUGGUACCACAUGCAUAAGAGUCUGCAUGGUCUUUGUAUAAAUUGUGACAUGUCAGGAUGAAAUCCGGUGUUAUGAUUGUGUUGUGUUAUUGGUGCAUACUAUUGACUUGAGCUUGUGAUUGGUAUGAAUUGGUAAAUCUGAAUAUGCUAAGUAGGGUGGAUAAUUGCUUAUGAAUUCUAUAUCUGACGAUUUAUAAUGCUAUUUAAUUUAUGAUGUAGUCUCACCC